This 93-nucleotide ribosomal RNA is filed under the name Chrysemys picta bellii (western painted turtle). The record is from RNAcentral. Lineage: Eukaryota; Metazoa; Chordata; Testudines; Emydidae.
GCCUGUAAUCAUACCAUCUUGGACUGAUCUCAGCUAAGCAGGGUCAGGCCCAGUCAGUACUUGUAUGAAAGGAACAGCUAAGUAUUGCAGAAA